AAAUGGAACAAUAUAGCAAAUGCAACAAUGACUUACGGGUAUCACCAAGCAAAGUUGGCCGAGGAUGAACAAGUAAAACGGCCAGCGGACGACGAGGACAACGGUAAACAUGAUGCAAUACACGCAGAAUACAAACACACAGAGGCUAUACAAAAACAAUAGGGUUCCAUAAUUCGUGAGGUCAAACUGC
This is a long non-coding RNA of Drosophila navojoa, 190 nucleotides long. Lineage: Eukaryota; Metazoa; Arthropoda; Insecta; Diptera; Drosophilidae. The record is from RefSeq and is a predicted model, not a curated record.